Molecule: long non-coding RNA, 673 nt
Organism: Magnolia sinica
Lineage: Eukaryota; Viridiplantae; Streptophyta; Magnoliopsida; Magnoliales; Magnoliaceae
Exons: 3
Source: RefSeq, a predicted model, not a curated record
AGUUUUUUUAUCUGAAUUUUGUUGGAUUUCGUGACGGGUGGAGUUUUUCAAUUUGAAUUCUAUUUGAUUUGCAGUUUUAUAACCCAUUAGGACUUUCUCCUCUCGUGAGCUGAGAGAGUAAAAAGACAGAUCCGGAUCUCAUUCCACACUCUUCCAUCUCCAAUUUAAGGCUGCUGGUGCUCUGUCAAUAAAAAUUGGUUAGUUUCGAAGGCAUAGUUGGAUGGUAUUGACUUUUAUAUGUAUAUUCUGUCCAAUUCAUUGGUCAUGAUUUUUGGAGGAAAUAAUUUCCACAACUACCUUUUCGACUCAAAGUCAGGUGUAAACAUGAUUAAUCACCCUAAAAAAGACAAAAAAGAAAAAAGAAAAAAAGGGAAAGUAAAAGUUCAAAACCAUUAAUCUAUCUUUAAAGUGCCAUCUGUUUUAAAGAGUUCUAACAUCCAUAAACUUGCCAAAACCAUGUGUAACCUAGAUUUCAACAGUUGUAUACACAGUUGCAAAUAGGUUACUAUAAACAAACUGCUAUGCAUACAGAUGCUAUAUUUUAGCAUGUAAACCUUUUUUUUUCUGACUGGAUUGGGCACUAUCAGGGCACUUACCAACAUGUAUCCGAAUAAAAUGUCAUUCAAAACUCAAACCUCGAUAGAGUGGAAUGGCGGAAAAGGAUUCACUUGCU